UAGGGAAUCUUCGGCAAUGGGGGGAACCCUUGACCGAGCAACGCCACGUGAGUANNNAAGGUUUUCGGAUCGUAAAGCUCUGUUGUUAAGGAAGAACGAGUGUGAGAAUGGAAAGUUCAUACUGUGACGGUACUUAACCAGAAAGGGACGGCUAACUACGUGCCAGCAGCCGCGGUAAUACGUAGGUCCCGAGCGUUGUCCGGAUUUAUUGGGCGUAAAGCGAGCGCAGGCGGUUAGAAAAGUCUGAAGUGAAAGGCAGUGGCUCAACCAUUGUAGGCUUUGGAAACUGUUUAACUUGAGUGCAGAAGGGGAGAGUGGAAUUCCAUGUGUAGCGGUGAAAUGCGUAGAUAUAUGGAGGAACACCGGUGGCGAAAGCGGCUCUCUGGUCUGUAACUGACGCUGAGGCUCGAAAGCGUGGGGAGCGAACAGGAUUAGAUACCCUGGUAGUCCACGCCGUAAACGAUGAGUGCUAGGUGUUAGGUCCUUUCCGGGGUUUAGUGCCGCAGCUAACGCAUUAAGCACUCCGCCUGGGGAGUACGACCGCAAGNUUG
This 551-nucleotide ribosomal RNA is filed under the name uncultured bacterium. RNAcentral's name for it is "bacterial SSU rRNA". It matches the Rfam family "Bacterial small subunit ribosomal RNA", at positions 355 to 896 of the family's 1533-position model. The record is from RNAcentral.